CCUACGGGUGGCAGCAGUGAGGAAUAUUGGUCAAUGGACGAGAGUCUGAACCAGCCAAGUAGCGUGAAGGAUGACUGCCCUAUGGGUUGUAAACUUCUUUUAUAUGGGAAUAAAAUGUUCCACGUGUGGGAUUUUGUAUGUACCAUAUGAAUAAGGAUCGGCUAACUCCGUGCCAGCAGCCGCGGUAAUACGGAGGAUCCGAGCGUUAUCCGGAUUUUUUGGGUUUAAAGGGAGCAGAGGUGGAAUGUUAAGUCAGGUGUGAAAGUUUGCGGCUCAACCGUAAAAUUGCAGUUGAAACUGGCUGUCUUGAGUACAGUAGAGGUAGGCGGAAUUCGUGGUGUAGCGGUGAAAUGCAUAGAUAUCACGAAGAACUCCGAUUGCGAAGGCAGCACACUGGACUGCAACUGACGCUGAGGCACGAAAGUGUGGGUAUCAAACAGGAUUAGAUACCCCAGUAGUC
Molecule: ribosomal RNA, 460 nt
Filed under: uncultured bacterium
Lineage: Bacteria
Description: partial 16S ribosomal RNA
Rfam family: Bacterial small subunit ribosomal RNA
Source: RNAcentral